CCCGCCCACUGCCGGCUGCUGACGGCCCCGCUUCGUUUCAACGGCCGCAGCCAAUCAUGGCUGUGAGGUGAUGCGAAUAUUCAUGAGGGCUGAGGAGGGGCGUUUGGAUGUUGGCGGCUGAGGAGCCUCAUUAAGGUGAAAAGCAGCAGCAGCAGUACUCCCAGCCUGCAUUCUGCCAGCGCUGCCAGAUGGACUCCACUCUAUGCCUCAGCCUCUCCUCACCCUAAACCUCAGCACUGUGAUUUCAGAGGAGAAAGACAACGUUGAAGGUGCACCUUGUUCAGUAAGAAAGAGGAAGGCAUAGAUAGGUGAAGAGAAAGCAGGAGGAGAAAGAGUGGAGGAAAGAGGCUGCUAAACAUGAGAGGAUGAUUUGACCUCCAGAGGGGACAUAUGACAUGUCAAAGUGAGAGGUUAAAGAAAAGGAAUGACAACAAGUCCCCCCAGGCAGGUAAGAACCCUCCAAGCCUGACACAUUUCCUGGUACUCUGACAUCUGCAUUGACUGUGGAUAUCUAGUACAUCCCUAAGAAUGAAUCUUGUAUUAAAUCAGUAAAUUAGAUAAGCUAGAGACCAUUGAGAUUCUGCAGUCAUUCUCAAAGUAUCACUCUAAGAACCCUGAACAUUUGGCAUCACAGCAAAGGUAAUCACAUCUAUUUUAGGCACCCAAUUUUCAAAGUCAGAGUAGAGCCUCCAGAAGUAUCCUGAGUAGCACAUGCAGAAAGGGAAACACCUUCAAGAAAACCACAGAGGACAACAGGCUAAAGAUGUUUGAAGUCUCCAUGUUAACAUGGCCAAUGAUAGUUCCUUCAGCAGAAUGAAAAUGUCAUUCCCUCUUCUUUUAUAACCUUCAUGUUUGUUCAAGGAGUGAUUUGCAGAGCUGAAGUUUGUGACUGCUCCUAAAAGAUCUGCAGGAGUUACUUAAGAAAAGCAAGCCUUUUGGCCAUAAACUUAAAUUUGUUAUAAGUAUAUAGGCAUCUGUAACAUCACAGGGAAAUUGUGAUGGUUCUGCAAAUUGAAAAAAGGGUGGACAACGGGGCUUUAAGUAAACGUCAAUCCCCCUAACAGACACGAGCAAAUUCUAUACAAUAUAGCAGAGCACUGCACUCAGCACUUUUGAGACCACCCCCCAACCAGCUGCACCCCUAGAAAUGCUGGGCACCUGUUCGUUCUGCAGACGAAGUGUCAGGUUGGCCUCUGCUCCCUUCAAGUGCUCCAGGCAAUUUUUAAGUUGUUUCUUUUGCUCUUCCUGAUCAGAAUUCCCAGGUUUUCACAGAUAGAGUUGUAAAGGAAACAUCAAAGAAAGAAGGUGUCAGGUAAGGAUGUGAAGCAGAGCAUCAAACUAUAGAAUAGAAACUUUAUAUUGUAAAGUUUGUUUCAGGGCAUUCUGACUAUAUUGCAUCUUUUCUUUUUAUAUUUUUAUUAUUAUUAAAUGCCAAAUCUACAGUAGUAAAGAUGAGAAAGGGACAAAACAUAAGCAUACAGGAAACCAGCAAAGUUGCUGCCUCCCACCAGUUACUCGUCAGCUUCCUGUUAGAGCUAAAAUUAACUGCAGAUAGUCCAGGCAGACUGAGGAUAAUUGUUUUAUUUAUACAAGUCUCCAUCCUGAAACAGUUUUGCUUAGCUGUAACAAUUUGCAAUCAGCUAAGUAUCAAUUCUGAAUUCCCACCUACCUGCUUCAUCAAAAAAGAUGAAGACUUUUCUUGCUACAGAGAAUCAGAAUUAUGAAGUCUACUUAGACAGGCAUCUCUUCCAAAACUGAAGAGUAUGUGUGUACUAUACGAAUCUGCAAGAUGGUGUGUUCACAGAACUACCUAUUUGGACACCCAUACCACUAUAGAGAUUUCUCUUUCUGUCAUGAAAUCCCCUAGACUUUUCCUAAGACUGAACAGUAUUUUUACCUAGUCACUGCAAAGGACACCACUCAGCUUCUUCCCUGGCUUCCCCAAGUAUCAUGAUAUUCAGGGAAGGUUUUACCUCCUGAGUUAUAGUCAUGCAUAACUGGUUAUUCUCCUCCUUUAAACUUUCACACUGCUUAGUCUUGUCACGGUUCGAAUGAACCAGGUCUUCAAUUUCCUUCUCAUAACUCAGAAGUUGAGACUAGGGAGAAAGAAGAGUGGGCAGCAAGUGAAUACAAAUAGUUAUGACUGAGAAGCACAGGCUCCUUUUGCUGCAUGAAGCAAAUCUCCAGAACCUGUGGCUGACCGGAGACGGUCCAUAAAAGCAAAGGAGGGAAGCUAUGUGUUUUGUACCUGCAGCUGAUCGACAUGAUCCAGGGCUGUUUUCAGUUUGGUUUCCAGACGUUCCUUUUCAGAGGUUACAUUCUGAAUUUGCUCUUUGAAUCUAUUCAAAGCAAGACAAAACACACCACACUUUCAUAAAUGGAAAUUAAAUCCACAACAGCAAGCUGUUUGCUUACAUGGAAUCCUGUUUUAAUUGGUCCUGUAGAUACACUUACUGGUGCAGUUCUGCCUCUCUGCACUCAUUCAGCUCCUUCAGGUGCUUAUUUUCCUUUUUCAGGGAACUCAGCUCCAGCUCCAACUUUUCCGUGCUGCUCCUAAGGGACUCCAAAACAUUUUGUAGCUCCUGAAAAUCAAAAUGAGGUCAAAUAGGAAGAAGAACUGGGCUCAGGCCAUAGUCCUCCUCUGCACUGGAACUGCAAAAUGCAAUGCUUCCAGGCAGCCCAUCUGAAGGGGGAAAAUCUCUCCUUUGUAUCCUUCAGAUAACUGAACCUGUUUCACUUACGUUAAGCCCUGAGCAAAACUGAAAGAGAAAAGAGGAAUGUUAGGAAGAGGGCUGGGCUUGCAAUUUCAGGAGAGCUUACCAAACAUUUUUGAAAGCUCUUCUUCCCAUAUAUUCCUGAACCCCAUGUCUGAUGAUGCCUCUCAUUCAUCAUUGUUAUUAUUGUGGUGGAGGUGUUGUACCCCUUGUUAAAUGAUUAAACAGUUAAUAUGGGAAGAAAAGGCUUUAAUUUUCUUCUGGAAGCAUACAACAGAGCAUAAUCUGACUCAGUCUUUUUACCUUAUCUUUCAGAAUUAAAGCUUCUGACUUCAUAUAUGAA
Molecule: long non-coding RNA, 3057 nt
Organism: Gallus gallus (chicken)
Lineage: Eukaryota; Metazoa; Chordata; Aves; Galliformes; Phasianidae
Exons: 3
Source: RefSeq, a predicted model, not a curated record